CUGGGGUUUACUGUGAUUAAGAGAUA
RNAcentral lists this non-coding RNA (26 nucleotides) under Rattus norvegicus (Norway rat). Lineage: Eukaryota; Metazoa; Chordata; Mammalia; Rodentia; Muridae. The record is from RNAcentral.